AUACGGAAGGUCCGGGCGUUAUCCGGAUUUAUUGGGUUUAAAGGGAGCGCAGGCGGAGAUGCAAGCGUGACGUCAAAUUUCGGGGCUCAACCCCGUCUCGCGUCGCGAACUGCGUCCCUUGGUUGCGGGAAGGGGAGGCGGAACUCGUGGGGUAGCGGUGAAAUGCAUAGAUAUCACGAAGAACUCCGAGCGCGAAGGCAGCCUUCCGGCCCGUCAACGACGCUCAUGCUCGAAGGUGCGGGUAUCAAACAGGAUUAGAUACCCUGGUAGUCCGCACAGUAAACGAUGGACACCCGCGGUUUGGCCUGUAUGGCUGAGCCGCCAAGCGAAAGCGUUAAGUGUCCCACCUGGGGAGUACGCCGGCAACGGUGAAACUCAAAGGAAUUGACGGGG
Molecule: ribosomal RNA, 393 nt
Filed under: uncultured bacterium
Lineage: Bacteria
Description: partial 16S ribosomal RNA
Rfam family: Bacterial small subunit ribosomal RNA
Source: RNAcentral